UCUCUGCCAGUUCUGUGCCAAACGCCUGCAAGGUCUGGGCUGUGGUCUUCACCAUUAGGGCGAACGCCUCGAUGGCCUGUGGAGGACAAAAGAGUCUAAUGCAGACUCAUAAUGUCUGGAGCAUGAAACCAGCAAAUGGUAGCAGACGACCUUGAGUGGCCUUGAUGAACAGAGCGUCUCAUGGGAAGACGAACGACCUUCAUUCUCCAGUAAAACUGAGUGCCAUUGGCUGAUGGACAUGGGGAGGGGAUGCAGCUGAGUGGGCAGAGGGGGAGAACAAAGACCAAACACUAUCGACUCCUUCCGCUACAGGAUCAAACAGUUGGCCUGCUCCAGUGUAAACAGGAAGACACCAAUUGACAAGAAACGAGUCACAGAAAUGAAGGAAGUGGUGGAGGAUAUGUAGGAGGACAAAAAGGUGACAGCAGGUGGACGGCUUGAGUGAAGUUGUCCCUUAACCUUCACAGCCGGUGAACAGUCUAGCAAACUUUUCCACCAUCGAUGCACACAUGGACAGGUAAGUUAUCAAUUUACUCACUUACAAGGGCUAUUUCAGG
Long non-coding RNA from Sphaeramia orbicularis (orbiculate cardinalfish), 557 nucleotides. RefSeq lists it as uncharacterized. Lineage: Eukaryota; Metazoa; Chordata; Actinopteri; Kurtiformes; Apogonidae. The record is from RefSeq and is a predicted model, not a curated record. The transcript is spliced from 4 exons.